Molecule: non-coding RNA, 2189 nt
Organism: Pseudonaja textilis
Lineage: Eukaryota; Metazoa; Chordata; Lepidosauria; Squamata; Elapidae
Source: RefSeq, a predicted model, not a curated record
GUGGCGGCAGGGUGGCCCCUCCCUCCCGAAGCGCCGGGCUCAGGUUGUUCUUGGAAACCAGAAGCCUCUAGUUCUUCUUUCUGCCCGGAUGGGACCUGGCCAGGGAGCGUCAUGAAUUUCUGCCGGGAGGCGUGGACGUGGGACUUCGCUGCUUCUUUUUAACGCCAGAGGAGUGGGGGGCGCGACGCCAAAAGCCGGCGAGGCGGGAGCGAGCCCCUCUCUCCAAAGCAGCGCCUAAGCGAGCACCGCCGCGGCUCCUUCCGUGGGGCUGUUUGCUUUCGUUUCCACGGGGUUUCGGUGUAAACCGAGCAAAGAUCCUAUAGUUGACUUGCUCUACAGAAUAAAAUGAACAAGAUGAAAACGUUCAAGCGCCGCUUUUCGCUUUCAGUUCCCAGGACAGAGACUAUUGAGGAAUCCCUGGCAGAAUUUACAGAGCAGUUCAAUCAGCUCAACAACAGGAAAAAUGAAGAUAUGGCACAAGGACAUUUACAUCUGGCUCACCUGAAUAGGGAUAUCCGAAUGCAGCCCAGUUCUGCCUCACCUUUGGAAGGCCGGUCCCCGACUUCUGUACAUUACCGAAAUGGCAAUCAACGCCGCUUUUCUAUGGAGGAUGUCAGUAAGCGUCUCUCUCUGCCCAUGGAUAUUCGCCUACCCCCAGAAUUCCUCCAAAAACUAGAAAUGGAAAAUCCAGAGAUUUCUAAGCCUCUCAGCAGAAUGUCACGGCGGGCAUCUCUGUCAGACAUUGGGUUUGGCAAGAUGGAAACUUAUGUUAAACUGGAAAAGUUGGGGGAGGGCACUUAUGCUACUGUAUUUAAAGGACGCAGCAAACUCACUAAGAAUCUUGUGGCGCUGAAGGAGAUCAGGUUAGAGCAUGAAGAAGGGGCACCUUGCACAGCUAUACGGGAAGUUUCCUUACUGAAGAAUCUAAAACAUGCCAACAUUGUGACUCUCCACGAUAUCAUUCACACAAAAUGCUCCCUCACUCUCGUUUUUGAAUAUCUGGAUAGUGACCUGAAACAGUACCUGGAUAACUGUGGGAAUCUGAUGAGCAUGUACAAUGUGAAGAUUUUCAUGUUCCAGCUGCUUCGUGGUUUGUCCUACUGCCAUCAGCAUAAGAUCCUACACAGAGAUCUCAAGCCACAGAAUCUGCUUAUUAAUGGAAAAGGAGAACUAAAACUCGCUGACUUUGGUCUAGCCAGAGCCAAGUCUGUCCCAACAAAGACAUAUUCCAAUGAAGUGGUCACAUUAUGGUACCGACCUCCUGAUGUCCUACUAGGAUCUACUGAAUAUUCCACUCCCAUAGACAUGUGGGGCGUGGGUUGCAUACACUAUGAAAUGGUCACAGGACGUCCAAUGUUCCCAGGAUCCACUGUGAAAGAAGAACUUAAUUUAAUAUUCAGAAUGUUGGGAACUCCUACAGAAGAAUCUUGGCCAGGAAUCACAUCCAAUGAGGAGUUCAAAACUUACCAGUUCACACAAUAUCGAGCCCAACCUUUGAUAAAUCAUGUACCCAGGCUAGACACAGAAGGCAUUGACCUUUUGACAAGUCUCCUCCUGUAUGAAGCCAAACAGCGUAUCUCUGCUGAAUCAGCUCUACGACAUCCCUACUUUAUGAUCCUAGAUGAACGAGUCCACCUCCUUCCUGAGACUGCCUCCAUCUUCUCUUUGAAGGAAAUUCAACUUCAAAAGGACCCUGGCUGCCGAGGCUCAAGUUUCCAGCAUGUUGCUCGAGGAAAGAAUAGGAGGCAAAGCAUAUUUUAAGCCUCUUUGUUCAUUCUUCCAAUCACUGAGAAGAUGGAAGCACUGAGAAGAGAGCAGACCGCUGGAUCCCAGAUAGUCCAUCUGAGAAAAAUAAGGGUACUGUACAUGAGCUGCCUUGCAAUCAGCUAUUUCAUCUACCCUACAUGAGCUGCCUUGCAAUCAGCUAUUUCUCAAAAUCCCACCUCUUUCUCGAAUGAGAAAGGAAAAGAGAGACAUUGUAAAGCCUCAGCCAGCUCCCAUUCUUCGUACAGCUGUUGGAAUAUACCACCUGGGCAAGAAUCUGCAUCAGAUGAAAAAAGGUGAAAGAAAUCGUGAACAAACACCAACUGUUUCCAGGUGGAAUACAACAUAUUCUAGAUAUAUUCCUCCUCUUAAAAUGUCAUGAAUGAGCCAGGGCAAUUGCACAAUAAAAGCCUUGCUUCAAAGCA